GAGGUUCAAAUGAUGACCAUUUGCAUAGUUCACAUGAUAUUCUGUGAUUAUACAUAUCUUUUAGUCUUUCGCUCCUAUCUGAUGAACUCU
Small nucleolar RNA from Cynara cardunculus var. scolymus (artichoke), 90 nucleotides. RefSeq annotates it as small nucleolar RNA snR60/Z15/Z230/Z193/J17. The record is from RefSeq and is a predicted model, not a curated record. The transcript has a single exon. Lineage: Eukaryota; Viridiplantae; Streptophyta; Magnoliopsida; Asterales; Asteraceae.